Molecule: ribosomal RNA, 253 nt
Filed under: uncultured bacterium
Lineage: Bacteria
Description: partial 16S ribosomal RNA
Rfam family: Bacterial small subunit ribosomal RNA
Source: RNAcentral
UACGGAGGGUGCAAGCGUUAUCCGGAUUCACUGGGCUUAAAGGGUGCGUAGGCGGGCAUGUAAGUCCGUGGUGAAAUCUCCGAGCUUAACUCGGAAACUGCCAUGGAUACUAUGUGUCUUGAAUGUUGUGGAGGUGAGCGGAAUAUGUCAUGUAGCGGUGAAAUGCUUAGAUAUGACAUAGAACACCAAUUGCGAAGGCAGCUCACUACACAAAUAUUGACGCUGAGGCACGAAAGCGUGGGGAUCAAACAGG